Molecule: long non-coding RNA, 538 nt
Filed under: Gallus gallus (chicken)
Lineage: Eukaryota; Metazoa; Chordata; Aves; Galliformes; Phasianidae
Source: RNAcentral
AGCAAAAUAGCCGUGCUAGCUGUAAAGUACGAAUCUGCAGGUCGUGGAAUGUGGGUUGUAAAAUCUGCUGAGGGAGAGCCAUAAACUGCUGCUGAAUAGGGAUGACAACUCUAUCUCUGCUCGCUGAUGAAAUUCCACAACCACGAUCGCACAGUGGGCAUCAGGAGCUGGAGGAGGGAUCCCCGAGGUCGAGUUUCUCUGGUUUUAGGCACAGCAGAUCGCAGAGCAUCCAGUUCUGCUUGGAGGCAUCUCCCGGGCACAUCAUGGAGAGGUUUUGCUCAAAGGGGGAACAGUGCAUGUUGAAGGAGCCGGGCUCCAGGCCGUACCCCGAGGAGUACAUGCCGGGGGGUUGGGGGUGCACGGCGCUGCCGCUGGAGUACAGCCCGGGCAUGGAGGAGGCGAAGGGAGGCGUGGAGCCGGCCCCAUAGCCCGCUCGUUGGGUGUUGGAGGCGAAAGCGCAAGAAGUUUGCUCGGGAAAGACUCCGGAUGGGAAAACCGAACUUGCGGCUUGAUAUUUAGAAAAUAAAGCAUUCGCAUA